UACAGAGGCCUCGAGCGUUAGGCGGAAUCACUGGGCUUAAAGCGUGUGUAGGCGGAUCGUUAAGUGUCUUGUGAAAUCCCACGGCUCACCCGUGGAACUGCUGGGCAUACUGGCGAUCUUGGGCCAACUAGGGGCAACUGGAACAAGCGGUGGAGCGGUGAAAUGCGUAGAUAUCGCUUGGAACGCCAAAGGUGAAAACAGGUUGCUGGGGUUGUGCCGACGCUGAGACACGAAAGCCAGGGGAGCAAACGGG
This 253-nucleotide ribosomal RNA is filed under the name uncultured bacterium. RNAcentral describes it as "partial 16S ribosomal RNA". It matches the Rfam family "Bacterial small subunit ribosomal RNA", at positions 524 to 776 of the family's 1533-position model. The record is from RNAcentral.